UUCAAAAUAAUCUGGAGGUAUUCACAGAGUUGCAGGAGAUUGGGAAAGAUAUAAAAGAGGAAGUGCAGGACAUUGGCUUUCAUGCACAUGGGGAUAUGGGUGGAGACAUCAGUAAAUGCCCCUACUAUGCAACCAAGAUGGCGGUGAGUGGAAACACGACUUAUGCAUGUAAUUUUGCCAAGAUGCUGCUUCGACAGUCCACAGUACAGGUGAUUCUGGCCACAUGGGUCGCUGCUGUCGCUGGAUUGGCUGCUUGGUACCUCAUGUGAUCACCUUUACCUGAAUCAGCCAAUCAGAAAUGAAAAUAGCAACAGCUGGGCUUCAAAGUGGAAAUCUUUCACUCACUGGGCCACUUUGUGAAAAUAUUGCUGCCGAUCAUAUAAAUAUGUAAAGUCACUGACUGGACUUUUAAUCCAUGCCACGUAUCUGUAUUAAAUACAAUGCUUUUAAAGGAGAUGUGACAUUAUUUAUCCUGUUUUCAAUCUCAGUCAAGAGUGUAAGCAUACAUGCUAGAAGACAUUGGAGCUGCUUAAAAUAAAACUAUU
Molecule: long non-coding RNA, 545 nt
Organism: Sinocyclocheilus rhinocerous
Lineage: Eukaryota; Metazoa; Chordata; Actinopteri; Cypriniformes; Cyprinidae
Exons: 4
Source: RefSeq, a predicted model, not a curated record